Molecule: non-coding RNA, 53 nt
Organism: Schistosoma rodhaini
Lineage: Eukaryota; Metazoa; Platyhelminthes; Trematoda; Strigeidida; Schistosomatidae
Source: Rfam
AUCUAACUGACAAGUCCCAAAUAGGACAAAACACGCGUCUACCCAAACUAUAU